UCCAAAUACAUCAUUUAAAUUAAUGUAAUUCAACUACACCACUGUUUGGAAAAGAAAAACAUAAGUAUCAAAUUAAGCUUUCGACAAGUUCUAAACAGUAAAGUACUAAAUUAAGUUUCAACAAACAUUAACGGACAAAAAGAAGCACAAGAGUGUCAAUAAAUAUCCAUAUGUGGCUUCAUUUUUUUCCCACCUACAAGUACAUAAAAUCAAUUAGUACACAACAAAUAAUAAAUCUUGGAUAUUUGGAAGAAAAAAUCAUCAUAAAUUACUCAUAUAUUACCUUGCGAUUUUGGGCUACAAUUAACUUGACAACAUAUGUAGCCCAUUGAUUAUGAAGUUGCAAGAGCUCUUUCAUGACGUACAAGCAACAAUAUUGUAACAUAUCCCUACUAAUAACAACCUUGCAAUUAAUCCAUAUAAUUGUUUUGUACAUCUCAUGGUUAUUCACAUAAUCUCUCCAACAAUACGCAGUGUACCAAUCAUUAAAUGUUCAUCAGUUAAUUAAUAUAGAGAGAGACAAAAAAUUUUAAAAAGAAUCUAGCUACCACUUUUUUGAUCGUUGUCAUUAACCUCUCUUAAAUCGUAAGUGAGUGAUGAGCAGUAAGACGGGCCUUAGUGGCUUUUUAAUAAGUCGAGCUAAUUCAUAAGUGAAGUAACUAAUAAAAAUUAAGACUUAAAAUAAAAAAAUGUCUUCAUAUUCUUUAAUGGCCUUAUAAGUUUUUUUGUUUUUCAUGUUUGGUCAAUAAAGAGAGUGGGAUUCCGGUGGUUGUGUGAGCCGCUAGAUUUGCCAUGCUAGCGAUCAUGGAGUUCUAAUUUUUGGCUAUUAGGUUAAAGCAAACAAAUAUUUAGGCUUAAGUACAGUGACAGUGUGACACAACCAUUAACGAAGUUUUGCAUGCAAAACGCAACUUUUAAAAUGAAGAAAUGAGAAUAAUGUCAAAUAAAAAAAGAAUAAUUGAAUAAUUCCUUUUAAGUAUUUAACCAUUCAACUUUUUAUAUGAACACAAGUUUAGCACUCACGCACUAAUAAAUUUUAGUUGUGAAAACUAUUUAAUUGGAGUAGAGAUACAAACAUGCAAAAUUUGUAAGCUCGUGUUUAUUUGACAUAUAUUUCUCAAAUAAAGAAUGAUGCAGAAGCAAAUCCUUUAAUAAUUGUAAAGGCAUAUCAUUUAAACAAACAGGAAAACUGCAUAACAUGAUGAACCCUUUUCAAAGUGUAAGCUGGUCAGCACAAACCACUUUCAAAGUGUAAGAUAGUUAGCACAAACCACUGAGUGCCCAAAUUGGCAGAAGAAGCAGGUCUACAAGUUAACAAAACCCGCAACCUCAGUCAAAAUUAUAAUACCAAUGCACGCAGUUAGAGGUAUGAUCAUAGCUAUCAAAAAUAGAGAUAUGCUCUUCCGGCUACAUAGGGGAAAAGAAAAGCAUUAAGUGUAUUAUACUUCUUCCAGCCACUUAAACAUGAGGUUUGAUUUCUGAAGGUAAUCAAUGAUUACUAUUAAACUAAUCGCAUAGUUAAUUAUUUCUUUGCUGCCUAAAAGGCUGUUUCCUUAAUACUCCUAGCAGUAUCCUAGUUGAAGAUUUCAUUUCUUCACAAAUAAUUUUAUAUGCUGUAGAGUUAGCUUAACCAACUUCUCAUCCAGUGAGGAAAAAAGAAGAAGAAAAAGGCAAUCUAAUUUUACUGUUAUCCAUAGCACUCCACUUAACUUUAUGAGAAUCUCAUUCUAGUUAAUUGAAUCAUAAAGAAGAGUAAUUAUAUUACAGCGAAUGGUAAGGGCACUGCCCUGCUUAGUUUCCAGUGUAAUGUACAGAUUCCAGAAACAUCUCUUUUUCUGAGCUAAUUUCUCAGCAACCAAACAACAUCUAUGUUUUCUUUCAUAUGCAAAAAGAUAAAAUGGAUCAAUUUAAAUGAAGAAAGAACAAAAAGUCUUAACAUACUACCCAGAUAAGCAAUUUAUUCGGGGCCAAAGGAUUCAAUGUAUGGUAUCUAACAAAGGUUGUUUGCCUUGUAUUGUCAACUCUCUUGCAAUUUCUAUUCCAAAAAAAAAAAAUCAGCUGCUCAUUUGUGAUAAAAACAAAAUUCAAAAUAAAAUCAAUAGAUCUAAAAUCAACUGUGGCUUCAAGGAACCUAAAGCCACAAUGUUAAUUGACCUUAAAAGUUUGUUAUAAAAUCAUAUGUAGAAGCAAUUAGUUUUAGUAAGAAGUACAUGACAUUUAGUAGAGCAAUUUUAAAGAAUUCUCUAUACAAAAAAAAGGCAUGGAUACCCAUUGAAUUCUCUUGCUGGUCACAUGACACUUAGGUCCAUUAUCUCUUUUCUUCAUGCUCUAUUUAUCCAUUUAAGCUUACCUUGAACAGAGAUUGUGGCGGUAUAGCAGCGACGACAGAGAUUGAGGCAGUGCGACAGUGACGGCAGCGGCUGACAGAGGCUAAGAAGUUAUUACCGGUGACGAACGGCUGAGUAUUGAUGAUAACUGGAAGUAGUUACGACCUAUUGGUGAUGACCGCAGUGGAUUAGUUACCGGUGACGGUCAAAAUUCAUAAGUCACGACAGUGGGUUUCCAACUUUGGUGCACAAGAUAUGCCAAGAGAUGACGACAGCAAAAGAGACAAAAAUAUAGAGAACAGACUUUGGUGCAUCGGAGAUGACGGCAAUGGCUAGUCGAAAGUAGUGACGGCAGUGGCUAGUCGAGAGUAGUGACGACAGUGGCGGAAGAGAUUUUGGGUAUGUCGGUGGAGUGGUGGUGAUUUGUUUUGUUUUCGAUUGACAAUAUGAUGAAAUGGGGAAAAGAGAUUAGGGAUUUUUCUUUUGCUAUUAUAUUUUUGUUUUUAAUUCUUUUAAAAAAUACUCGUAUCUUGAAUCUGUAGGCCUUGUGGUCCUUGGUUCAAAUGUAAAAAUUUUAAAUUUUAAAAGUCUUUGGUUCGAGUCGGAAGAUUUACAAAUCAUAGUAAAUUUUUUUUUAAUCUCUGAUACUUUAGUGCCAGUGGUUUUUGAUACUUAAUUUACCGACACACUAAUAUCAGUAAUUUGUGAUACCUAUUUGUUAAAAGUGGAAAAUGGUGCAUAUGCAUACAAUUACUGAUACUUUUUACAAAAUGUCAGAAAUUAAGUGUAUUUUUGUAGUAGUGAUUAUUAUUAUUUGGUAAAAUAUCAGCAAUGACUUCUAACAAAGCAGAAAACCCUUUAUCAGACCACCCAUAAUUUCCUUUCACCUUAUAAAGUCUCAUUAAUCCAGAUAACUUUGAAUGUCUUGCAUCUGGAUACAAAGGCUUUUCAGCAUCUUCAAGCAUAUCCUUAAAAGAACUAGGAUCUUUAUCACAAUUAUCAUAAGCAUCUUCGACCAUGUCAAUUAUGCCAUUGUAAUCAUGACAUCUGAAUCUCUGAUUAUGUUGAUGGUCUUGACAUUUUGUAGAUGUAGAAAUAGGGUCAGUCUCACCAUACCAAGUCCAAACUCUAUAUUUUGUACAAAAACCUUUUUCAAAUAAAUGAUCAUUCACCUGUUGAGGAGUAUGAAACUCCAUAUUACAACAAAAGCUGCAAGGACAUCUAAUUGACAUUCGGUUUUCAGCAUUCAAAAUGGCAAAUUUUAAGAAAUCGGUAACUCCAAUACUAUACUCUAGGGACAACCUAUUACAAGUUAUCCAAGUUUUGUCCAUUUCAAAUAUUUUUACAUGUUCAUAUAUUAUAUAGUGUCAGUUUAAGUUUAAUAAAAUUGCAUGAUUAAUUUCAAAUAUUUAAAGUUAUUAUGAUUAUAACUUCAAUAAUAAAUUUGUAAUUAGGGAAAUAAAGUAUAAUAAUUUUUCUAAUACAAUUAUAUUAAUUUGAAAACAUUAAUAAUAACAUUCCACUUACAGGUAAUCCCGAUCAAGUUUAAAUCACUGGAACAUCCUCUAAUUGAUGCUCCACCUACAAAUUUAAGGAGAUGAAUUAGUAAGAUUGGCCUUAUGGCCUUUUAAUAAGCUGAGCUAAAUUUCUAAAUAAUAAAUUUUAUUAAAUAAUGAUGAAUUAGUCAUCUCUUAAAAAAGAUAAUAUUGCAAUACAUAUCUUGGAAGCUACAACAAAUUAACACCCAGUAGAUACAAUUUCUAAAUCUGAAAUAGCUUCUAAUAAACAAUUAAUAUUUCACAAUUGGUAUGAUAAUUAUAAUGUCAAUGCCUACAUAGGAAGAGGGCUGAUAUUAUCUACAACAAGAUGCUAGUUAUCAUUUUAUUGAUGGGGUUGUAGGGCCACAACACAAAUCUUUCAAUGCAAAGUUGAUACACAUUUUUUGCACACUAUAACGAGUGUGACAACGCACAUCCAAUCAAAAUCUUAUAUAAGAAUUAAAAAAUUAUUUUCUAAUUUGCAGGAAAAUUAUAUGAUCACAUUCUUGGGACAACUACAUAAAACUAAUAAGCAUGAAUGUUCUUAAGUUUUAAAAAAAAUACAAAAAAAUUGGAAAUACUAAAUCAAUUGUACAUAUCAUAUUCAUGUGUAGGAGAAUAAUUGGUUAAUUAAUUAACACUACAUAUCAUAUUCCUAUGCAGGAGAAUAAUUGGUUAAUUAAUUAAUUAAUUAACACUACAUUAAUAAUUAGUUAAUUAAUUAAUUAACACUGCAUUAGGUUAAUUACUAAAGCUUAUCAUUUGGGAUAUGUGGGUUAUUGUUUUUUUUUUCUCUCCCACACUCGAACAUCAUCAUAGGCAAAAGAUUGUUUGUAUCAAAAUCUAUAAUUUUAAUUCCCUGGAUGAUUGCUACAUGUGGGGCUUUAUGGUCAUCAUUUACGAAUCCCAAUAAUCAAACCAUAUAAAAUGAAAAAAAAAAACCAAAGAUAGUCCAGCUUUUGUUUUAGGUGAGGUCUACACAAUUGAAAAACAAUAAUAAAAGUUGCAACGAAAGAAUAAAAAAUUCAACAUAAGAAAUAGAUUAAAGAAACAAUGAUAAAAGUUGCAAUGAAAGAAUAAAAAAUUCAACACAAGAAAUAGAUUAUGGAAGAAAAUUAAAGAAUAGGAGGGGCCAUUACCGUUUGAAGGGAAAGAGAUUUGAGCAAAAACGUCCAGAUCUUGGUGAAGGGAGAUGAUGAUAGUGGCUAGUCGAAAGUAGUGACAGCAGUGAUGGGAGAGGUUUUGGGAGUGUCGGCAGUGUGGUGGAUCUAGGAAUUUUGUAAGUUAUGUUUGCUAUGUUUUAAUUCACAAUAUUAUGAAUGUAGGGAAAGAGAUGUGAGCAAAAAAGUUCAGAUUUUGGUGGAGGGGAGAUGAUGAUAGUGGCUAGUCGAAAGUGGAGAUGACAGCAAAAGAGUCCAGAUCUUGGUGAAGGGAGAUGAUGAUAGUGGCUAGUUGAAAGUAGUGACAACAGUGAUGGGAGAGGUUUUGGGAGUGUCGACAGUGUUGUAGAUCUAGGGAUUUUGUAAUUUAUGUUUGCUAUGUUUUAAUUCGCAAAAUUAUAAAUGAA
RNAcentral lists this long non-coding RNA (5432 nucleotides) under Citrus x clementina. RNAcentral describes it as "Citrus clementina (C. clementina) long non-coding RNA (CCLE_LNC005373)". The record is from RNAcentral. Lineage: Eukaryota; Viridiplantae; Streptophyta; Magnoliopsida; Sapindales; Rutaceae.